UAUAUUUUAGUAUAUUUGUAUAAAAAUUUUUGAAAUUUUAGGUAAUAGUUGAAUCUAUUAAAUAUAA
RNAcentral lists this transfer RNA (67 nucleotides) under Tenebrionoidea sp. 24 KM-2017. RNAcentral's name for it is "tRNA-Gln". Lineage: Eukaryota; Metazoa; Arthropoda; Insecta; Coleoptera. The record is from RNAcentral.